AAGGGUAUAGCUCAGUGGUAGAGUACUUGCUUAGCAUAAAUGAGGUCCUGGGUUCAAUCCCCAGUGCCUCUG
This 72-nucleotide transfer RNA is filed under the name Camelus bactrianus (Bactrian camel). It matches the Rfam family "tRNA". From Rfam's summary of the family: Transfer RNA (tRNA) molecules are approximately 80 nucleotides in length. Their secondary structure includes four short double-helical elements and three loops (D, anti-codon, and T loops). Further hydrogen bonds mediate the characteristic L-shaped molecular structure. tRNAs have two regions of fundamental functional importance: the anti-codon, which is responsible for specific mRNA codon recognition, and the 3' end, to which the tRNAs corresponding amino acid is attached (by aminoacyl-tRNA synthetases). tRNAs cope with the degeneracy of the genetic code in two manners: having more than one tRNA (with a specific anti-codon) for a particular amino acid; and 'wobble' base-pairing, i.e. permitting non-standard base-pairing at the 3rd anti-codon position. RNAcentral also lists the same sequence under 1 other name. Lineage: Eukaryota; Metazoa; Chordata; Mammalia; Artiodactyla; Camelidae. The record is from Rfam by way of RNAcentral.